This 433-nucleotide ribosomal RNA is filed under the name uncultured bacterium. Its description in RNAcentral is "partial 16S ribosomal RNA". It matches the Rfam family "Bacterial small subunit ribosomal RNA", at positions 29 to 507 of the family's 1533-position model. The record is from RNAcentral.
AACGAACGCUGGCGGCAUGCCUAACACAUGCAAGUCGAACGAGACCUUCGGGUCUAGUGGCGCACGGGUGCGUAACGCGUGGGAACCUGCCCUUAGGUUCGGAAUAACUCCCCGAAAGGGGUGCUAAUGCCGGAUAAUGUCUUCGGACCAAAGAUUUAUGGCCUUUGGAUGGGCCCGCGUUGGAUUAGCUAGUUGGUAGGGUAAAAGCCUACCAAGGCGACGAUCCAUAGCUGGUCUGAGAGGAUGAUCAGCCACACUGGGACUGAGACACGGCCCAGACUCCUACGGGAGGCAGCAGUGGGGAAUAUUGGACAAUGGGCGAAAGCCUGAUCCAGCAAUGCCGCGUGAGUGAUGAAGGCCUUAGGGUUGUAAAGCUCUUUUACCCGGGAUGAUAAUGACAGUACCGGGAGAAUAAGCUCCGGCUAACUCCGUG